This 253-nucleotide ribosomal RNA is filed under the name uncultured bacterium. Its description in RNAcentral is "partial 16S ribosomal RNA". It matches the Rfam family "Bacterial small subunit ribosomal RNA", at positions 524 to 776 of the family's 1533-position model. The record is from RNAcentral.
UACGGAGGGGGCUAGCGUUGUUCGGAAUUACUGGGCGUAAAGCGCGCGUAGGCGGACCUGCAAGUCGGGGGUGAAAGCCCGAGGCUCAACCUCGGAACUGCCUUCGAUACUGCGGGUCUCGAGUCCGGGAGAGGUGAGUGGAAUUCCUAGUGUAGAGGUGAAAUUCGUAGAUAUUAGGAGGAACACCGGUGGCGAAGGCGGCAUCCUGGACCAAUUCUGACGCUGAGGAGCGAAAGCCAGGGGAGCAAACGGG